Molecule: ribosomal RNA, 566 nt
Filed under: Escherichia coli
Lineage: Bacteria; Pseudomonadati; Pseudomonadota; Gammaproteobacteria; Enterobacterales; Enterobacteriaceae
Description: partial 23S ribosomal RNA
Rfam family: Bacterial large subunit ribosomal RNA
Source: RNAcentral
AGACCCGAAACCCGGUGAUCUAGCCAUGGGCAGGUUGAAGGUUGGGUAACACUAACUGGAGGACCGAACCGACUAAUGUUGAAAAAUUAGCGGAUGACUUGUGGCUGGGGGUGAAAGGCCAAUCAAACCGGGAGAUAGCUGGUUCUCCCCGAAAGCUAUUUAGGUAGCGCCUCGUGAAUUCAUCUCCGGGGGUAGAGCACUGUUUCGGCAAGGGGGUCAUCCCGACUUACCAACCCGAUGCAAACUGCGAAUACCGGAGAAUGUUAUCACGGGAGACACACGGCGGGUGCUAACGUCCGUCGUGAAGAGGGAAACAACCCAGACCGCCAGCUAAGGUCCCAAAGUCAUGGUUAAGUGGGAAACGAUGUGGGAAGGCCCAGACAGCCAGGAUGUUGGCUUAGAAGCAGCCAUCAUUUAAAGAAAGCGUAAUAGCUCACUGGUCGAGUCGGCCUGCGCGGAAGAUGUAACGGGGCUAAACCAUGCACCGAAGCUGCGGCAGCGACACUGUGUGUUGUUGGGUAGGGGAGCGUUCUGUAAGCCUGUGAAGGUGUGCUGUGAGGCAUGCU